AAACCCCCUCGCCGAAAGACUAAGGUUUCCUGAUCAACGCUAAUCGGAUCAGGGUCAGUCGGGUCCUAAGGCUCAGCCGAACGGCGAUGCCGAUGGCAGAAACGGUUAAUAUUCCGUUACUACCUUCAGGAGUGACGUGGAGACGCAGUAGUGACAGUGCCGCCAUCUGACGGAAUAGAUGGUUGAAGGGUGUAGGAGUCGAUCAUGGCAGGCAAAUCCACCAUGAGAUCCGAACCUGACAGUAUGCCGCGUCCUUCGGGACAAGGCAAUAGUGCGCGUAAGCAUGCUGCCGAGAAAAUCCGCUAAACUUAAUCCUGCAGGUACCCGUACCGCAAACGGACACACGUAGUCGGGAUGAAUAUUCUAAGGCGCUUGAGUGAUUCACGGUUAAGGAACUAGGCAAACUGACCCUGUAACUUCGGGAUAAAGGGUCCCUACCCUUUUAUGGGAGGGCGCAGAGAAUCGGUCCAGGCAACUGUUUAACAAAAACACAGGGCUGUGCCAAAUCGAAAGAUCCAGUAUACAGCCUGACACCUGCCCGGUGCUGGAAGGUUAAGAGGAGAUGUCAUCGAUAAGAGAAGCGUUGAAUUGAAGCCCCAGUAAACGGCGGCCGUAACAAUAACGGUCCUAAGGUAGCGAAAUUCCUUGUCGGGUAAGUUCCGACCUGCACGAAUGGUGUAAUGAUCUGGACACUGUCUCAACCGUGAGCUCGGUGAAAUUGUAGUAUCGGUGAAGAUGCCGAUUACCCGCGAUGGGACGAAAAGACCCCGUGAACCUUUACUAUAGCUUAUCAUUGAAUCUGGGCACGUGAUGUGUAGGAUAGGUCGGAGGCUUUGAAGCAGGUACGCCAGUAUUUGUGGAGCCGCUGUUGAAAUACGACCCUUUAUUUGUUUGGAUUCUAACCCGUGGAUACGGGGACAUUGAUUGGUGGGUAGUUUGACUGGGGUGGUCGCCUCCAAAAGCGUAACGGAGGCUUCUAAAGGUGCCCUCACGGCGAUUGGUAACCGCCGUUAGAGUGUAAUGGCAUAAGGGCGCUUGACUGGGAGACUGACAAGUCGAUCAGGUAGGAAACUAGAGCAUAGUGAUCCGGUGUUUCCGUAUGGAAGGGACAUCGCUCAAAGGAUAAAAGGUACUCCGGGGAUAACAGGCUGAUCCCUCCCAAGAGCUCAUAUCGACGGAGUGGUUUGGCACCUCGAUGUCGGCUCGUCACAUCCUGGGGCUGGAGAAGGUCCCAAGGGUUGGGCUGUUCGCCCAUUAAAGUGGCACGCGAGCUGGGUUCAGAACGUCGUGAGACAGUUCGGUCUCUAUCUAUCGUGGGCGUAUGAAAUUUGCGUGGCUCUGACACUAGUACGAGAGGACCGUGUUGGACAGACCUCUGGUUUGCCGGUUGUGCCGCCAGGUGCAUUGCCGGGUAUCUAAGUCUGGAUCGGAUAAGUGCUGAAAGCAUCUAAGUACGAAGCCGGCCACAAGAUUAGAUUUCU
Molecule: ribosomal RNA, 1481 nt
Filed under: human gut metagenome
Description: bacterial LSU rRNA
Rfam family: Bacterial large subunit ribosomal RNA
Source: RNAcentral